CUAUGUUGGCCGGGCGACGGUUGUCCCGGUUUAAGCGUGUAGGCUGGUUUUCCAGGCAAAUCCGGAAAACCAAGGCUGAGGCGUGAUGACGAGGCACUACGGUGCUGAAGCGACAAAUGCCCUGCUUCCAGGAAAAGCCUCUAAGCAUCAGGUAACAUCAAAUCGUACCCCAAACCGACACAGGUGGUCAGGUAGAGAAUACCAAGGCGCUUGAGAGAACUCGGGUGAAGGAACUAGGCAAAAUGGUGCCGUAACUUCGGGAGAAGGCACGCUGAUAUGUAGGUGAAGCGACUUGCUCGUGGAGCUGAAAUCAGUCGAAGAUACCAGCUGGCUGCAACUGUUUAUUAAAAACACAGCACUGUGCAAACACGAAAGUGGACGUAUACGGUGUGACGCCUGCCCGGUGCCGGAAGGUUAAUUGAUGGGGUUAGCGGUAACGCGAAGCUCUUGAUCGAAGCCCCGGUAAACGGCGGCCGUAACUAUAACGGUCCUAAGGUAGCGAAAUUCCUUGUCGGGUAAGUUCCGACCUGCACGAAUGGCGUAAUGAUGGCCAGGCUGUCUCCACCCGAGACUCAGUGAAAUUGAACUCGCUGUGAAGAUGCAGUGUACCCGCGGCAAGACGGAAAGACCCCGUGAACCUUUACUAUAGCUUGACACUGAACAUUGAGCCUUGAUGUGUAGGAUAGGUGGGAGGCUUUGAAGUGUGGACGCCAGUCUGCAUGGAGCCGACCUUGAAAUACCACCCUUUAAUGUUUGAUGUUCUAACGUUGGCCCGUAAUCCGGGUUGCGGACAGUGUCUGGUGGGUAGUUUGACUGGGGCGGUCUCCUCCUAAAGAGUAACGGAGGAGCACGAAGGUUGGCUAAUCCUGGUCGGACAUCAGGAGGUUAGUGCAAUGGCAUAAGCCAGCUUGACUGCGAGCGUGACGGCGCGAGCAGGUGCGAAAGCAGGUCAUAGUGAUCCGGUGGUUCUGAAUGGAAGGGCCAUCGCUCAACGGAUAAAAGGUACUCCGGGGAUAACAGGCUGAUACCGCCCAAGAGUUCAUAUCGACGGCGGUGUUUGGCACCUCGAUGUCGGCUCAUCACAUCCUGGGGCUGAAGUAGGUCCCAAGGGUAUGGCUGUUCGCCAUUUAAAGUGGUACGCGAGCUGGGUUUAGAACGUCGUGAGACAGUUCGGUCCCUAUCUGCCGUGGGCGCUGGAGAACUGAGGGGGGCUGCUCCUAGUACGAGAGGACCGGAGUGGACGCAUCACUGGUGUUCGGGUUGUCAUGCCAAUGGCACUGCCCGGUAGCUAAAUGCGGAAGAGAUAAGUGCUGAAAGCAUCUAAGCACGAAACUUGCCCCGAGAUGAGUUCUCCCUGACUCCUUGAGAGUCCUGAAGGAACGUUGAAGACGACGACGUUGAUAGGCCGGGUGUGUAAGCGCAGCGAUGCGUUGAGCUAACCGGUACUAAUGAACCGUGAGGCUUAACC
Molecule: ribosomal RNA, 1468 nt
Filed under: human gut metagenome
Description: bacterial LSU rRNA
Rfam family: Bacterial large subunit ribosomal RNA
Source: RNAcentral